GUGAUGAGGGCUGGGUUGUUGAUAGAUGAUAAGUUAGGAGCCAGCUGA
This 48-nucleotide small nucleolar RNA is filed under the name Pyrobaculum islandicum DSM 4184. Its description in RNAcentral is "PISsR43". The record is from RNAcentral. Lineage: Archaea; Thermoproteati; Thermoproteota; Thermoprotei; Thermoproteales; Thermoproteaceae.